GUACGGGGGGCGAGCGUUGUCCGGGAGUUUAUUGGGCGUAAAGAGCUCGUAGGCGGCUCAGCAAGUCGGGCCCGUGUAAAGCCUGAGGGCUCAACCUCAGGACGCCGGUCGAAACUGCUGUGGCUACGGGUCCCGGUAGAGGAGAGUGGAAUUCCCGGUGUAGCGGUGAAAUGCGCAGAUAUCGGGAGGAACACCAGUAGCGAAGGCGGCUCUCUGGGCCGGCACCGACGCUGAGGAGCGAAAGCUAGGGGAGCAAACAGGAUUAGAUACCCUGGUAGUCCUAGCCGUAAACGUUGGGCACUAGGUGUGGCGGAUUCAUUGACAUCUGCCGUGCCGAAGCUAACGCAUUAAGUGCCCCGCCUGGGGAGUACGGUCGCAAGGCUA
Molecule: ribosomal RNA, 384 nt
Filed under: uncultured organism
Description: partial 16S ribosomal RNA
Rfam family: Bacterial small subunit ribosomal RNA
Source: RNAcentral